UAAGGAGAUUGACUAGAAAUCAAUUGGGCUCUGCCCGCGUAGGUUCGAAUCCUGCUGACUGCGUUAAACUUUUUU
Caenorhabditis elegans is the source of this 75-nucleotide non-coding RNA. The record is from Ensembl. Lineage: Eukaryota; Metazoa; Nematoda; Chromadorea; Rhabditida; Rhabditidae.